UGCCGACUGGAAGUCUGAUGAGAGAGUGGGUGUGUCACUUUGUCUGACAGCUGACUACCCUUGGAACGUUACUUUCUGCCUUUCAUUGUAUACAUUUUUGGUACACAAUGCCUGCAAAGAAGAAGCAGUUUGCCAAGAACAUUAGCCACAAGAGGAAAAGGCACAUAGAAGCAAUGAUAAGGUCUAUACAAGCAAAGUGAGCAGCAGCUGCUGUGGCUGGUGACGCCGCCACGAUGCUAGUACCACCACCCUCCUCUCAACACCUGUCCUUGUUCACUGCUACUGAACUAUUGGAUAUUUCAUGUUCAGAAACAAGUUAGACAAAAUAUAGGAGCCCCGCAAAUAUGCCCACCUCCACCACGGCUGCUACUACCACAACUACUACCACCACGGCUGCUACUACCACAACUACUACCUCCACUGCUGCUACUACCACAACUACUACCUCCACUGCUGCCUGGAGGACAUUAGAUAAUCAUGUGUCCACCUACAUCCAGUCAUAGAUUGAUUGGGAUGGAUUUUUCAGAUUGGCCGGCCACCAGAGAACUUCAGGACAAAGGGAUCUUCAUGGAACUUUAGGAAUAAUGUCUAUAUAACCAGUUCUACUCUCAAUAAACGUAUAAAGGCACUAUGAGUAUUUUUACCCACUGUAUAGUAAUGUUCAAUGUAUUUGUUGAUUUUUUUCAAAAGUGCAUUUAUUUGUAUUUUUCUGAGGUAAAACCAUUAUUUAUGAACCGAUCAUUCUGAAU
This is a non-coding RNA of Cherax quadricarinatus, 749 nucleotides long. The record is from RefSeq and is a predicted model, not a curated record. Lineage: Eukaryota; Metazoa; Arthropoda; Malacostraca; Decapoda; Parastacidae.